Molecule: small nucleolar RNA, 165 nt
Organism: Entelurus aequoreus (snake pipefish)
Lineage: Eukaryota; Metazoa; Chordata; Actinopteri; Syngnathiformes; Syngnathidae
Source: RefSeq, a predicted model, not a curated record
ACGAGAAAGUUUCUCGUGGCCACGAGAAACUUUCGUGGCCACGAUUAAGUUUCUCGUUCGCACGAGAAAGUUUCUCGUGGCCACGAGAAAAAAAAAAAAAAAAAAAAAAAAAAAAUUUUUUUUUUUUUUUUUUUUUUUUUUUUUUUUAUAAAAAGUUUCUCGUGG